GACGAACGCUGGCGGCGUGCUUAACACAUGCAAGUCGAACGGAAAGGCCUGCUUUCCCUUGUGGAUUGCGGGUGCUCGAGUGGCGAACGGGUGAGUAACACGUGAGUGAUCUGCCCCCAACUUGGGUAUAAGCCUGGGAAACUGGGUCUAAUUCCCGAUAGGACUGCAGGGUGGUGCCUGUGGUGGAAAACGAUUUUCUAGUGGUUGGGGAUGAGCUCGCGGCCUAUCAGCUUGUUGGUGGGGUAAUGGCCUACCAAGGCGGCGACGGGUAGCCGGCCUGAGAGGGUGGACGGCCACAUUGGGACUGAGAUACGGCCCAGACUCCUACGGGAGGCAGCAGUGGGGAAUAUUGCACAAUGGGCGGAAGCCUGAUGCAGCGACGCCGCGGGGGGGAUGACGGCCUUCGGGUGGUAAACUCCUUUCGACCGCGAGGAAGCCACCUGGUUGGAAGGGUGGUGACGGUAGUGGUAGAAGAAGCACCGGCUAACUACGUG
RNAcentral lists this ribosomal RNA (494 nucleotides) under uncultured bacterium. RNAcentral describes it as "partial 16S ribosomal RNA". It matches the Rfam family "Bacterial small subunit ribosomal RNA", at positions 28 to 507 of the family's 1533-position model. The record is from RNAcentral.